This is a non-coding RNA of Anopheles minimus, 45 nucleotides long. Lineage: Eukaryota; Metazoa; Arthropoda; Insecta; Diptera; Culicidae. The record is from Rfam.
ACAACAGCUUUUUUCAAAGCUACCUGUAUUUCGUACCCGUUGUUU